This 491-nucleotide ribosomal RNA is filed under the name uncultured bacterium. Its description in RNAcentral is "partial 16S ribosomal RNA". It matches the Rfam family "Bacterial small subunit ribosomal RNA", at positions 29 to 506 of the family's 1533-position model. The record is from RNAcentral.
AGUGAACGCUGGCGGUAGGCCUAACACAUGCAAGUCGAACGGCAGCACAGUAAGAGCUUGCUCUUACGGGUGGCGAGUGGCGGACGGGUGAGGAAUACAUCGGAAUCUACUUUUUCGUGGGGGAUAACGUAGGGAAACUUACGCUAAUACCGCAUACGACCUACGGGUGAAAGCAGGGGAUCUUCGGACCUUGCGCGAUUGAAUGAGCCGAUGUCGGAUUAGCUAGUUGGCGGGGUAAAGGCCCACCAAGGCGACGAUCCGUAGCUGGUCUGAGAGGAUGAUCAGCCACACUGGAGCUGAGACACGGUCCAGACUCCGACGGGAGGCAGCAGUGGGGAAUAUUGGACAAGGGGCGGAAGCCUGAUCCAGCCAUACCGCGUGGGUGAAGAAGGCCUGCGGGUUGUAAAGCCCUUUUGUUGGGAAAGAAAAGCAGCAGGUUAAUACCCCGCUGUUCGGACGGUACCCAAAGAAUAAGCACCGGCUAACUUCGU